UAUCGUCGGAUCAGAAUUCUCAAACUUUGACGCGCGAACGUUACAAUGACGUUCAAAUGAUUUAGGUUAUUAGAUUAGCACACGCGACAAUCAACUUCAUUGUUGAUGAAACGGUCCUUGUAUUUCACCUGGAGUUGUGUGCCGCCUCUGACACAGCGGUGGAGCUGUUGGUAGAUUCGAAAGCAACCGUCGCUGCCAACCCCAACAUGAUGUCGUCGCUGCCAAAUUCAAAAGCCCGAUCCGAACUGAGGCAUUUCAUCCAACACCACAAGAAAGCUUUAGCGCUCCAUCAGGCACAAUGUUAAGUGCCGUAGUGUUGGGCCAUAAUGUUCUGCCAUGACUGGGUUUGUGACCUUGCGGGGGUGACGCUGACGAAUCAGAAGAGCAGUGGUCCACGACUUUCACGCACCGUCAUUAUUCGUGUGGCGCAGUGGAACUCAGGUCUUUAUUCUGAGCCAUUGUUGUUGUGGUUUGACGUGUGUGAGGAGGCGGAACUUCGACAGAGGCGCGGAGGAACUCAGAUCUUGAUGUUGCUCUCAUUGUUUCUCAGAUCUGGAUUUGUCUGGUUCUUAAAUCUGAGUCAUGGUUGGCCACGUUUCCGAUGGUGGAGAGGACUAGUUUUUUAUUGGUCUUGACGAUGGUGAAACAAAGGACUCAUGACUUUAUAUGUAUAUCGCUUA
This 680-nucleotide long non-coding RNA is filed under the name Glycine max (soybean). Its description in RNAcentral is "long non-coding RNA (GMAX_LNC001755)". Lineage: Eukaryota; Viridiplantae; Streptophyta; Magnoliopsida; Fabales; Fabaceae. The record is from RNAcentral.